RNAcentral lists this ribosomal RNA (460 nucleotides) under uncultured bacterium. RNAcentral describes it as "partial 16S ribosomal RNA". It matches the Rfam family "Bacterial small subunit ribosomal RNA", at positions 338 to 795 of the family's 1533-position model. The record is from RNAcentral.
CCUACGGGCGGCAGCAGUGAGGAAUAUUGGUCAAUGGGCGCGAGCCUGAACCAGCCACGCAGCGUGAAGGAUGACUGCCCUCCGGGUUGUAAACUUCUUUUAUAAAGGCAUAAAGUGAGGCACGUGUGCCUUUAUGUAUCUACUUUAUGAAUAUGGAACGGCUAACUCCGUGCCAGCAGCCGCGGUAAUACGGAGGAUCCGAUCGUUAUCCGGAUUGAUUGGGUUUAAAGGGAGCGUAGAUGGGAUAGUAAGUCAGUUGUGAAAGUUUGCGGCUCAACCGUGAAAUUGCAAUGGAAACUGGCAGUCUUGAGUGCAGUAGAGGUAGGCGGAAUUCGUGGUGUAGCGGUGAAAUGCGUAGAUAUCACGAGGAACACCAGUUGCGAAGGCAGCUUGCUAAACUGCCACUGACGUUGAUGCUCGAAAGUGUGGGGAGCAAACAGGAUUAGAUACCCGGGUAGUC